RNAcentral lists this ribosomal RNA (621 nucleotides) under Triticum aestivum (bread wheat). RNAcentral's name for it is "partial small subunit ribosomal RNA". The record is from RNAcentral. Lineage: Eukaryota; Viridiplantae; Streptophyta; Magnoliopsida; Poales; Poaceae.
AUGCGCCCCGCACCAGGUCCGGGGGCGUCGGGUGAGCGCGUCGCCGGCCACACACACACAUUCCAAAUGCUGAUGCUCGCGAACAAGAGUAAGGGCCCACAAGCACGUCGAGCUGCGCACGAGGAGAGAAACGUAGGAGGGAGGUACGCGGAUAAUGGUGGCAGCAGUGCACCUGUUCUUCCAGGAUGCAACUAUUCUUCGAGGUGCCUCUUCUUUGUGUGCUGCCAUCCAUGUCUUCUUAUACAUCAUUCCAUCAAUAUUCGCUUUGUGGACGGAUGUCCUUGCAGUGCAAUCGCGAGGAGCGUUCCACGACGCGUCUAUGGCAGAGUACACCAGCCAGGCGUGCACAAAGAGCAUCCCCGGGCACUACGUUAUCUACAGCGAGCUGCUGACCACGGGCGGAGCCGGCGCCAGCGCGAUGGUGGACAAAGAGACCCUCGACGCUCGCUGCUUGGAGAUGGAGGUGGCACUGAAUACCGUUUACAGGCAGAGCAGGGUGGCGGGUGGGUCCAUGGAGCCGGAGGAGCUGAUGGACUAGGCCUUCUCCCGCAGGGCCCCCCAUCAACCGAUACAAGGUGCCCCGGUGUGCUUGACAUUCCCGCCUGCCAUCGAGCUGCUUAG